AUUGAACGCUGGCGGCAUGCCUUACACAUGCAAGUCGAACGGCAGCACGGGGGCAACCCUGGUGGCGAGUGGCGAACGGGUGAGUAACAUAUCGGAACAUACCCUAGAGUGGGGGAUAACGUAGCGAAAGUUACGCUAAUACCGCAUACGAUCUAAGGAUGAAAGUGGGGGAUCUUCGGACCUCAUGCUCAUGGAGUGGCCGAUAUCUGAUUAGCUAGUUGGUGAGGUAAAGGCUCACCAAGGCGACGAUCAGUAGCUGGUUUGAGAGAACGACCAGCCACACUGGAACUGAGACACGGUCCAGACUCCUACGGAGGCAGCAGUGGGGAAUUUUUGGACAAUGGGGGCAACCCUGAUCCAGCAAUGCCGCGUGAGUGAAGAAGGCCUCGGUUGUAAGAGUCUUUGUUCGGGUAGGAAACGGUAGGAGUCUAUACAGCUGUC
This 441-nucleotide ribosomal RNA is filed under the name uncultured bacterium. RNAcentral describes it as "bacterial SSU rRNA". It matches the Rfam family "Bacterial small subunit ribosomal RNA", at positions 30 to 473 of the family's 1533-position model. The record is from RNAcentral.